GACGAACGCUGGCGGCGUGCUUAACACAUGCAAGUCGAACGGAGAUGUCCCGCUUUUGUGGGGUGCUAGUGUCGAGCGCGGGUGUAAUACAUGUGAGUACCCUGCCUGUGACUGUGAGAUAACUUCAGAACCCUGGGGAAUAUUCCGGAUUGGAGCUUCUGCUGUAUGGUGGGGGUUGGAGAGUUUUGGGGGUUGGGGAUGGACUCGCGGCCUAUCAGCUUGUUGGUGGGGUAAUGGCUUACCAAGGCUUUGACGGGUAGCCGGCCUGAGAGGGUGACCGGCAACAUGGGAACGGGAAAACGGCCAGGACCCCUCGGGGGGCAAGAAGGGGGGAAUAUGGCACAAUGGGCGGAAGCCUGAGGCAGCAACGCGGCGUGCGGGAGAACGGCCUUCGGGUGGUAAACCGCUUUCGCCGGGGAGGAAGCGUGAGUGACGGUAAUUGGUAAAGAAGCACCGGCUAACUACGUG
RNAcentral lists this ribosomal RNA (468 nucleotides) under uncultured bacterium. Its description in RNAcentral is "partial 16S ribosomal RNA". It matches the Rfam family "Bacterial small subunit ribosomal RNA", at positions 28 to 507 of the family's 1533-position model. The record is from RNAcentral.